AUUUGAAAAAAAAAAAGAUUUUACGCAUGAAUACAUGUACCUUUAUUUUACCGACUUUAAUUUUCAAUAAAAUCGACACUAUUUUCACGGGGACCGCAUUUUUUCUAAACUGCAACAUAAACAAUGAUUUCAAUGUAUCCGUUAGCUUCAAAUGAAAACAGGAUAAAGGAUACUUAUACGUAUACUUUUGUAUCUGUAUAGUAAGAUAGUCGACUGCAGGACACAAGUCCUUAUUCAAGCACCCGGGAAAAAAACCACAUUUGCCUCAGCCGACAAAGCACGGUUACGUUUAAAUAGAGUAAGUCAUGGACAUUUCGUUUAAAGUUGUUAAUCGAAUAUUCU
RNAcentral lists this long non-coding RNA (342 nucleotides) under Mytilus galloprovincialis (Mediterranean mussel). The record is from RNAcentral. Lineage: Eukaryota; Metazoa; Mollusca; Bivalvia; Mytilida; Mytilidae.